AUUACCAUUACACGUUCAUAUAUACAUCACCUUUAUUAAUUGGAAAUCAAACUAUUAUUUUCAAUUCCAUAUGGUAUCAGAGCUACCACACUCCUGAUAUGUUCCUUUUAUUCUCCUUUUUCUCUCUCUCAAUUCCCUACAUUCUUUAUCAACAAUAAUGGCUUUUGAAGACAUCUCUACAUCUUUCACUAGUCAUAGCAUCAUUCAAAAUACUAAAUCAUCAUUGGCUCCAUUGGUAACAUGUCUUGUUUCUCCAUGGCUACCUAAUAAUGGAG
RNAcentral lists this long non-coding RNA (275 nucleotides) under Carica papaya (papaya). RNAcentral's name for it is "long non-coding RNA (CPAP_LNC003046)". Lineage: Eukaryota; Viridiplantae; Streptophyta; Magnoliopsida; Brassicales; Caricaceae. The record is from RNAcentral.